Molecule: ribosomal RNA, 1046 nt
Filed under: Platyceridion sp. NB-2020
Lineage: Eukaryota; Metazoa; Arthropoda; Insecta; Diptera; Keroplatidae
Also listed under: 1 other name
Description: bacterial SSU rRNA
Rfam family: Eukaryotic small subunit ribosomal RNA
Source: RNAcentral
CAUGCAUGUCUAAGUAUAAGCGAAAAUAAAGUGAAACCGCAAAAGGCUCAUUAUAUCAGUUAUGGUUCCUUAGAUCGUAUCCACAAUUACUUGGAUAACUGUGGUAAUUCUAGAGCUAAUACAUGCAAUUAAAGAGAAACCAGUAAAAUGGGAUCUCUGCUUUUAUUAGAUUUAAACCAAUGGGGAUUGCUUCGGCAUUCUCAAUCAAAAUGGUUGAACUCUGGAUAAUUUGUUGAUCGCAUGGUCUUGUACCGGCGACGGGUCUUUCAAAUGUCUGCCCUAUCAACUAUUGAAGGUAGUGUCUUGGACUACCUUGGUUGCAACGGGUAACGGGGAAUCAGGGUUCGAUUCCGGAGAGGGAGCCUGAGAAACGGCUACCACAUCUAAGGAAGGCAGCAGGCGCGUAAAUUACCCACUCCCGGCACGGGGAGGUAGUGACGAAAAAUAACAAUACAAGACUCACAUCCGAGGCCUUGUAAUUGGAAUGAGUAGACUUUAAAUCCUUCUACAAGGAUCAAUUGGUGGGCAAGUCUGGUGCCAGCAGCCGCGGUAAUUCCAGCACCAAUAGCGUAUAUUAAAGUUGUUGCGGUUAAAACGUUCGUAGUUGAACUUGUGUUUCGUACGGGCAAUACCUAGGACUAGGUAACUAGGACGGUAUUUGUCUUAUCUUUCCAUAUUCUUUUAUAGGAUAUUGGAAAAAGUGCGUGAACGUAUUAUCGGCGUGUUUAUUAUUCUUUUUUUUUUUAUAAAAAAAUUGGAUAUAAUCACAUAAGCCCAUUUCAGUGCUCUUUACCGAGUGUUGUUGUGGGCCGAUACAAAUUACUUUGAACAAAUUAGAGUGCUUAAUGCAGGCUUGUAAUGCCUGAAUAUUUUGUGCAUGGAAUAAUGGAAUAGGACAUCUGUUCUACUUUCAUUGGUUUUUUAGACCAAGAUGUAAUGAUUAAUGGAAGCAGUUGGGGGCAUUAGUAUUACAACGCGAGAGGUGAAAUUCUUAGACCGUUGUAAGACUGACUAAAGCGAAAGCAUUUGCCAAAGAUGUUUUCAUU